This 460-nucleotide ribosomal RNA is filed under the name uncultured bacterium. RNAcentral describes it as "partial 16S ribosomal RNA". It matches the Rfam family "Bacterial small subunit ribosomal RNA", at positions 338 to 795 of the family's 1533-position model. The record is from RNAcentral.
CCUACGGGUGGCAGCAGUGAGGAAUAUUGGUCAAUGGGCGUAAGCCUGAACCAGCCAAGUCGCGUGAGGGAUGAAGGUUCUAUGGAUCGUAAACCUCUUUUAUAAGGGAAUAAAGUGUGGGACGUGUCCUGUUUUGUAUGUACCUUAUGACUAAGGAUCGGCUAACUCCGUGCCAGCAGCCGCGGUAAUACGGAGGAUCCGAGCGUUAUCCGGAUUUAUUGGGUUUAAAGGGUGCUUAGGCGGCCUUUUAAGUCAGCGGUGAAAGUCUGUGGCUAAACCAUAGAAUUGCCGUUGAAACUGGGAGGCUUGAGUAUGUUUGAGGCAGGCGGAAUGCGUGGUGUAGAGGGGAAAUGCUUAGAUAGCACGCAGAACCCCGAUUGCGAAGGCAGCCUGCCAAGCCAUGACUGACGCUGAUGCACGAAAGCGUGGGGAUCAAACAGGAUUAGAUACCCCAGUAGUC